GGGACACCUAGACUCUUAUAGGCUUUUGGACUUUUGUUGUUUUUUCCCUUAUUUUGACUUUUUUGACUUUUUAUUUGGGAUUUUGACUCUGGAUUUUGGAUUUUGUUCUUUGGUUUUGGAUGUAUGCUUUUUUUUUUUGGACUUGGACUUAGACUUCAUUAUUUAUUUAUUUUUUUUGGAUUCUUUUGCUUUCUGCUUGACUUAGGAUUGUUUGACUUUAUUGCUUUAAUUGGGAAUGUCAUUUGACUUUUAAGCUUUCCAAGCAUUUUCCAACUUUAUUUAUUCAAGCUCUAAUUUUUGCCUAAGCCGCCCUUUCGGGUUUUCAACUUAGCGAGCUACCCAUUUUUGCCUAAGCCGCCCUUUUCGGGUUUUCAACUUAGCGGGC
RNAcentral lists this long non-coding RNA (385 nucleotides) under Jatropha curcas. RNAcentral's name for it is "long non-coding RNA (JCUR_LNC000188)". Lineage: Eukaryota; Viridiplantae; Streptophyta; Magnoliopsida; Malpighiales; Euphorbiaceae. The record is from RNAcentral.